UACGGAGGGGGCUAGCGUUGUUCGGAAUUACUGGGCGUAAAGCGCGCGUAGGCGGAUCUGCAAGUCGGGGGUGAAAUCCCGAGGCUCAACCUCGGAACUGCCUUCGAUACUGCGGGUCUCGAGUCCGGGAGAGGUGAGUGGAAUUCCUAGUGUAGAGGUGAAAUUCGUAGAUAUUGGGAAGAACACCGGUGGCGAAGGCGGCAUCCUGGACCAAUUCUGACGCUGAGUGAGCGAAAGCCAGGGGAGCAAACGGG
This 254-nucleotide ribosomal RNA is filed under the name uncultured bacterium. RNAcentral describes it as "partial 16S ribosomal RNA". It matches the Rfam family "Bacterial small subunit ribosomal RNA", at positions 524 to 776 of the family's 1533-position model. The record is from RNAcentral.